AUACGAAGGGGGCUAGCGUUGUUCGGAAUCACUGGGCGUAAAGCGCGCGUAGGUGGACUAAUCAGUUGAGGGUGAAAUCCCGGGGCUCAACCUCGGAACUGCCUUCAAUACUGUUAGUCUUGAGACCGAGAGAGGUGAGUGGAAUUCCUAGUGUAGAGGUGAAAUUCGUAGAUAUUAGGAAGAACACCAGUGGCGAAGGCGGCUCACUGGCUCGGUACUGACGCUGAGGUGCGAAAGCGUGGGGAGCAAACAGGAUUAGAAACCCUUGUAGUCC
RNAcentral lists this ribosomal RNA (274 nucleotides) under uncultured bacterium. Its description in RNAcentral is "partial 16S ribosomal RNA". It matches the Rfam family "Bacterial small subunit ribosomal RNA", at positions 523 to 796 of the family's 1533-position model. The record is from RNAcentral.